RNAcentral lists this ribosomal RNA (444 nucleotides) under uncultured bacterium. RNAcentral's name for it is "SSU rRNA". It matches the Rfam family "Bacterial small subunit ribosomal RNA", at positions 26 to 518 of the family's 1533-position model. The record is from RNAcentral.
AGAACGAACGCUGGCGGCAUGCCUAACACAUGCAAGUCGAGCGCCCCGCAAGGGGAGCGGCAGACGGGAGAGUAACACGUGGGAACGUACCUUUCGGUUCGGAACAACCCAGGGAAACUUGGGCUAAUACCGGAUACGCCCGCAAGGGGAAAGAUUUAUCGCCGGAAGAUCGGCCCGCGUCUGAUUAGCUAGUUGGUGAGGUAACGGCUCACCAAGGCGACGAUCAGUAGCUGGUCUGAGAGGAUGAUCAGCCUCACUGGGACUGAGACACGGCCCAGACUCCUACGGGAGGCAGCAGUGGGGAAUAUUGGACAAUGGGCGCAAGCCUGAUCCAGCCAUGCCGCGUGGGUGAUGAAGGCCCUAGGGUUGUAAAGCCCUUUCGGCGGGGAAGAUAAUGACGGUACCCGCAGAAGAAGCCCCGGCUAACUUCGCGCCAGCAGCCGC